This is a long non-coding RNA of Oncorhynchus tshawytscha (Chinook salmon), 1639 nucleotides long. NCBI's taxonomy places the organism in Eukaryota, Metazoa, Chordata, Actinopteri, Salmoniformes, Salmonidae. The record is from Ensembl.
UCUCCUCUCUCACCUCUCCUCUCCUCUCUCACCUCUCCUCUCUCACCUCUCUCCUCUCUUACCUCUCUUCUGUCCUCCACUGAUAAACCAACCAACCACAUCCUCCUCUUCUCCUUUUCCUGUGGAUGUUCCUCCUCUAACAGACACUUAUCUUCCUCACCCAGUCUGUCCAUCAGAGGUACCUCCUCUAACACAAACACUCAUCUUCCUCACCCAGUCUGUCCAUCAGAGGUACCUCCUCUAACACAAACAGUCAUCUUCCUCACCCAGUCUGUCCAUCAGAGGUACCUCCUCUAACACAAACAAGUGCAUUCGAUUCACACCCUCUUUUUCUGAUUUAUAUCCAUGUCAUACUGUACUGUUAGUAUUAACAGAUACAUGUCAUACUGUUAGUAUUAACAGAUACAUGUCAUACUGUACUUAUUAACAGAUCCAUGUCAUACUGUACUGUUAGUAUUGAAGGAGCCGUACUAUAAACGGUUCUAGCGUCUCUUGGCCAGACUAAACAACUUGUGUAUUUUCUGAAUUCCAUUUUGCAGCUCAUGUAAUCCUCAUAAUGGACCUGCCUUCAGUUUGAAUUCAGGAAGUGAAAAUUAAAACUGCCCAUUGUUCUCUAUGAAGAGAGUUUUUUUUUAAAUCACUCUUUUUAUUUUGGAUCCACUUUAAUGACUUGACUGAAUAGAUCUGAAUUGACUCUGACUCUGUUGCAGUCAUUGAUAGAACAGUCAUGUUGCACUUCACUACUGUCCCAUCUGACCAUGAGUCAGCGUCAGGCCUAAUGCUAUACAUUGAUUUGUUUUGUUACAAGUUGUUUUGUUUUUUUAAAGGCCCAGUGCAGUUAGAAAUAUGUAUUUAUAUAUAUUUCCACACUAUGGGGUUGGAAUAACACUGUGAAAUUGUGAACAUUAUCAUAAUGUCCUUUUUAGUGUCAGUUGUUUUGAAUAGACUGACAUUUCAGCCUGUUUUGGCAGGAUGGAGUUUUGGCCUUCCACGGUGACAUCACUAUGGGGUGAAUUAGUUAAUAGACCAAUAAGAAAGAGAGUUCUAAAACCCCUCUGCCAAUACCAGCACAUUUUCAGUUUUCCCCUCCCCACUCAGACCACUCCCAGACAGACCUAGCUAAAUUGUUGCUUGAAAUCACAGUAAGGUACUGCAUUGUUACCCAGGAAUGAUUUGAUAUUGACAUUUGGACUUUAAAAAAUAAAUAUUGCAUUAUUCCUAAAUUAACUUUUGUAUGCCAACAGUGUUUCUCAUGCAGUAUAGAAUCAAGCUGCAUUCUGGGAUGUAAGCUACUGUAUUCUCCAGUGAUGUUUAUAGUCCCCGUGAUAUCUACUAUCUCCAUCAUGCCAUCCUUGCUGUGUUGUUCCAAGGCUCACUGAUCUGUGUCUGAUGACAUGGUUAGAGUUGCGUCCCGACUCUCCACACUUCUCGUAGAGCGUAGAGCACACUUCCUGUCAUCGAAACAGACAAAGAGAACCAGUCAGAGCCCAGAACCUCAGGGAAAUGGACAUUGGUUAGAGAAUUAAGGGAAGAGGAUCACUGUCUGGAAUCAUGUGUUUUAUUAAAAGGUUUUGAAUGGUUGAAGGAUAAAUUAUAAUGUGUGAUAUUAUAAUAACCAAUAAAGUUGUGUGAAAUAAAG